AGUGAACGCUGGCGGUAGGCCUAACACAUGCAAGUCGAACGGCAGCACAGUAAGAGCUUGCUCUUACGGGUGGCGAGUGGCGGACGGGUGAGGAAUACAUCGGAAUCUACUUUUUCGUGGGGGAUAACGUAGGGAAACUUACGCUAAUACCGCAUACGACCUACGGGUGAAAGCAGGGGAUCUUCGGACCUUGCGCGAUUGAAUGAGCCGAUGUCGGAUUAGCUAGUUGGCGGGGUAAAGGCCCACCAAGGCGACGAUCCGUAGCUGGUCUGAGAGGAUGAUCAGCCACACUGGAACUGAGACACGGUCCAGACUCCUACGGGAGGCAGCGGUGGGGAAUAUUGGACAAUGGGCGCAAGCCUGAUCCAGCCAUACCGCGUGGGUGAAGAAGGCCUUCGGGUUGUAAAGCCCUUUUGUUGGGAAAGAAAAGCAGCAGGUUAAUACCCCGCCGUUCUGACGGUACCCAAAGAAUAAGCACCGGCUAACUUCGUG
Molecule: ribosomal RNA, 492 nt
Filed under: uncultured bacterium
Lineage: Bacteria
Description: partial 16S ribosomal RNA
Rfam family: Bacterial small subunit ribosomal RNA
Source: RNAcentral